Molecule: long non-coding RNA, 3059 nt
Organism: Lotus japonicus
Lineage: Eukaryota; Viridiplantae; Streptophyta; Magnoliopsida; Fabales; Fabaceae
Exons: 3
Source: RefSeq, a predicted model, not a curated record
CCCCUCAUUCACUCGACAUCUCCCUCCUUUCUCCUUCUCCAUCUUUUUUCUUCUUCUCCUCCAUUCUUCCUCUGAAACCCUAAGCCACACAUAACCCUCUUCUUCUCCCAUGGAAAACGCCACCACCACGUUCCAGCCGCCACCACCACGAGCGAGCCCUCCUCAUGCGCGCCCGCAGCUGGCCCCAACACCAUCACCGCGUCUUCUUCUUCUCUCCUUGGCUGCAACCACCGCGAACUUCCGUGAGCCACCCCCAGAACUCGUUUCUCCUCCCUCCCAUGCCUUGAUUGAUGGACUGUUGGCCUAGGAAUCGAAAGAAAACGGAGAAAAAGAAACCCUAACCACCGCCGCCUUCAAACUCCGAUCUCCGGCGAACGACUGAGCUUUUGGAAAAACCAACCACACCAUGGAACUCCCCUCGCCGUGCGCUGCAAAACCUCUAAAGAAAUUUUGGACUCCGACCACCUUCACCGGAAACCGCCGCCAACCACCGUCUUCUCCGGCCAACGUUCGCCGGAGAAGUCACUGAACUCAGAACCAGGGGGCUCUCCCUCUACUCUCGCCGAAUUAAUGGUCAAUUUUUGCUUGAUGAUCUCUGGUGGGGAGGACAACCAUGACCAGCAAGGGAUAACCCUUCCUCUGCCUUCAACUUUGAUAGGGUUGACAUUCUUAACUGCAUCAAAUGAUUACUAGAGUCUUUAUGCUCCUCUUAGUCAUAAAUCAUUGUCAAUUUUGCUGUCCAAGUGCCUUGUAAAAAUUAAUGAAGGAAUAUAGAAUAGUGUAUGUGUGUGUGGUGUGAGUGAUAGUGUUAUGGUUGUUGAUUUCUGAGGGCAUGACGGUUCAGCCCUUGCUGUGCUUGAAAAGCUUUUGCGAAAACUCAUACAAAACUGAUGUUGUUUUCGAAUGUAGUAGCCGUUGUUCUGUCAAGUUCGUGUGUUUCAGUUUAGAUUUUGGAACUCUGUUCAUAAAAAUUGUAGCUUUUUCUGUUAGCAAACUUUUGCCGCUGGUUUCGUGUCGUUUUGAUUUCUCAAACUCAAGUUAUACGCAUUUUGGUGAGCACGGGUUAAGUUGUCCCGUUUCUCAUGAACUACUGUAGUAUUUGAUUUUUCCCGAAUUUUGUACUUCGAAUUUGGACUUGGAAAUUUAUGAGGAUUUACAAAACUUGUAAAAGAAGCCAUGAUAAAAAUAUUAGAUUUUUCUGAGUUUAUUUGACGUAUUUAAAAAUUAGCUAAAGUCGUUGUACAGUUAUGUUCGUUUUGACAAAACCAGUUAUUUCAAGCGAAAAAUCGUUGUUUGUGGAAAAGGUUGAGUAAACCUUUUAUUUUAAAAUUAUAUUACAAUGUUUGGAGUAAGAAAACAUCUUUUGAAACUUACUUAUGUACGUUGUUUAUUUGUUUAUGAAAAUCAAGAACGUUUGAGUCUUUACGCACAUUUAUUCGUUAAAAAGCGAUUGCGAAAAGUUUUGAAAGUCGAACAAGAUUUUGGAGUAUUAGAGAAUAAGUGUUCGAAUAUUACCUCUUUGUUAAUCGAUGUUUAGGAAUAACAUGAUUGGAUAGGGAUAGAACAAUUAAGUUAGGAUUUCUGAGUGAAGAAUUAGACUUCGAAAGGUAUUAAUUAGAAUGGAUUAAGUUGUGAUGGCAAUCUUGAUGUUGGAAGAUAUGACUUAGGAUUGAAUCUUGAAUUCUAAGAAGUUUAUGAGCUUUACUAUAAAUACUUGAUUUUAGAAGGUCUAGAUUUGAAACUUUGGAAGUUCGAGGACUUAGAAGUAAUUAAGGGAUUAAUUGAGGACUAGAUGUCGUAUCUUAGAGAUCGAGGACUCAUCUAUAAAUUUGUAAUUUUGUAGAACCAAAGUGGAGUUUCAAAGAGAAUAUUGUUUUGUUUCUAAUGAGAUAUCACGAGUUUAAGUUUAAGAGAAAUGAUUCGAUCGUUUUGAAGGAGCUUAUGAGUCUUGAAUAAGUACAUGAUCAUUAGAUAAGAAGAGUUGUUUGUCUUGGAAGUUAACUAUGGUUUAUGAAUUUCUUUAUAAGAGUUAGUGAAUUUGAUAAGAAUUGAUAAGGAUACAGUGUUGACUUGAGGUAUCGAUUGCGAGAGUAACGUUAAGACGUUAAGUUGUUGUAACUUAUUUGAUAAGAAAGUCUUGAGAAUAAAGAGAAUGGUGGAAUAGAAGAGGGAAGAGAUUACUUAAGGAUGAUGAUAGGAGAACGUUAUCUUGAGAUGAUAGGUAUUGAUUGUUUUAACUAAGAGUUUGGUGUGCGUAGUAUUGCGAAAAUACCUCAAUGAGUAUCCUAAUAAAGACUGAGGACUCUAAGGAAGACGAGAGGAAUAAGUGUUCUUUAAUUGCACCUUCUCUUUUGACAAGCAUAUGAGUAUUUGGUUUUAUAGUUGAUUUACUAAGUCAAAAAAUUUUGAAGCAUUGUUAUUGCUUUGUUGUCAUUAUGAUGACUUAUCUUAAUUUCUGAAGUUGAUCUUCAUGGUUUAUAACCAUUAAGGAAAUUGAGUUUAACUUGUGAUUUCUUCGGGUCAAUUGCUUGAGAUUGUAGCUUUAGACUUGGAAAGUAGGUAGCUCAAUUAGUAAUUACGUUAUGUGUACUUAUGAAGGGUACGAAUAACGGAAGCGUUUGACGACGAAGCCAAAGGACAAAAGGAAGUGAACUAACACGGGAAAGCAAAUAUAUGAUUGGAUUGGAUUUGAGUCACAGCUUAGUAAGGAAAGCGCCUAAGACGACGACCGGUGAUGAUGUGAGCAGAUGCUACUCUAUGUGGAAGGACUAUAGAAGACUCGAAGAAUAUAGUCGGGUCUAAGGCUAAAGCCUUGGGUAGAAAAGCUUAUCGUUAUUGGUUUAAGCUUGCAGGAUCAUUUUAUGAUUUGUAUUUGAGGUUUUGGGUAGGUUCCGGUGCAUUGCUUUCCUAUGGUUACCCAGUGUGGAAAUCAUAGGGAGUAUAUCGGAUCUAUGGAGUCAUUACAUAGUGGGUUCGUUGUUGGAUCUUAUUUUAAUUGUCAUGUCUUUUAUGUUGUGCAUUGGUCAAGGCCAGAUGUAAAUUAUUUACGGUUGGGAGUA